UACGAAGGGGGCUAGCGUUGCUCGGAAUCACUGGGCGUAAAGGGUGCGUAGGCGGGGCUUUAAGUCAGGGGUGAAAUCCUGGAGCUCAACUCCAGAACUGCCUUUGAUACUGAAGAUCUUGAGUUCGGGAGAGGUGAGUGGAACUGCGAGUGUAGAGGUGAAAUUCGUAGAUAUUCGCAAGAACACCGGUGGCGAAGGCGGCAUCCUGGACCGAUACUGACGCUGAGGAGCGAAAGCCAGGGGAGCAAACGGG
This 253-nucleotide ribosomal RNA is filed under the name uncultured bacterium. RNAcentral's name for it is "partial 16S ribosomal RNA". It matches the Rfam family "Bacterial small subunit ribosomal RNA", at positions 524 to 776 of the family's 1533-position model. The record is from RNAcentral.